AACGAACGCUGGCGGCAGGCUUAACACAUGCAAGUCGAACGCCCCGCAAGGGGAGUGGCAGACGGGUGAGUAACGCGUGGGAACGUGCCCUAAGGUUCGGAACAACUCCGGGAAACUGGAGCUAAUACCGAAUGUGUCCGAGAGGAGAAAGAUUUAUCGCCUUAGGAUCGGCCCGCGUUGGAUUAGCUAGUUGGUGGGGUAAAAGCCUACCAAGGCGACGAUCCAUAGCUGUUCUGAGAGGAAGAUCAGCCACACUGGGACUGAGACACG
Molecule: ribosomal RNA, 270 nt
Filed under: uncultured bacterium
Lineage: Bacteria
Description: partial 16S ribosomal RNA
Rfam family: Bacterial small subunit ribosomal RNA
Source: RNAcentral